GUUAAAAAGCUCGUAGUUGAAUUUCUGCUACAUUGCCUAUUCUCCUUUACGAGUUUGGGUCUUUUGUGGCUUAUCUGGGUUCGCUUGCGUUCCCGGUGUUUUACUUUGAGAAAAUUAGAGUGCUCAAAGCAGGCUUUUGCCUUGAAUAGUUUAGCAUGGAAUAAUAAAGUAGGACUUUGGUUCUAUUUUGUUGGNUUUAGGUACCAAAGUAAUGGUUAAUAGGAACAGUUGGGGGCAUUCGUAUUUAACUGUCAGAGGUGAAAUUCUUAGAUUUGUUAAAGACAAACUACUGCGAAAGA
RNAcentral lists this ribosomal RNA (299 nucleotides) under Theileria velifera. RNAcentral's name for it is "partial small subunit ribosomal RNA". It matches the Rfam family "Eukaryotic small subunit ribosomal RNA", at positions 618 to 952 of the family's 1831-position model. Lineage: Eukaryota; Apicomplexa; Aconoidasida; Piroplasmida; Theileriidae. The record is from RNAcentral.